This is a long non-coding RNA of Pygocentrus nattereri (red-bellied piranha), 394 nucleotides long. RefSeq lists it as uncharacterized. The transcript is spliced from 3 exons. NCBI's taxonomy places the organism in Eukaryota, Metazoa, Chordata, Actinopteri, Characiformes, Serrasalmidae. The record is from RefSeq and is a predicted model, not a curated record.
GAAACAGGACAUAGAUGAGUUGCUUGGUGGACACAUGCGCACUGCUUUGUGGGAUUUGUCUCCUGCUGGUGCUUCCAGGUGUAGAAACCGUCGGAUAACUGGGGCUUAAACUUGCAGGAUCCUGAUGCUGGGAGUGGCACAGGACGCAGUGGGAAUCCCCAGCACGCUCCAGCACAAAGCCCCCUUCACACCCCUCACAUUCAGCGAAGCCGCUGUGGCCAGAGCCCUGUGGAGAUCACCCCUGAUCAGGCCAGCUGUAGUGAUUCUCCAGCUAAAGGGCAAAGACUGUGUGACCGCUGGAUGUCAGUGGGCUUUAAAAGAUGCUGACAUGAAAACGUGCAAACGCUGAUCAAAUAGAAAUGAAUGUAAAGCAUGUCGCCCACGGCCUGAGCAU